CCAUGCCUUUAGACAGCACUGUCUAAGGGAGUUUGGGCCCUGCGCAAUAAGACUCUGUGAACCUUGUCAGGUCCUGACGGAAGCAGCAAUAAGCGGAAGUUCCUAUGUGAUGCAGUUAAAGCCUGCUCAGAAAUUGGGCAGUGCUGUCUAAGGGCAUGG
Molecule: signal recognition particle RNA, 159 nt
Filed under: Clostridiales bacterium
Lineage: Bacteria; Bacillati; Bacillota; Clostridia; Eubacteriales
Description: signal recognition particle sRNA large type
Rfam family: Bacterial large signal recognition particle RNA
About the family: The signal recognition particle (SRP) is a universally conserved ribonucleoprotein involved in the co-translational targeting of proteins to membranes. Archaeal SRP consists of a 7S RNA and homologues of the eukaryotic SRP19 and SRP54 proteins. In most bacteria, the SRP consists of a 4.5S RNA and the Ffh protein (a homologue of the eukaryotic SRP54 protein).
Source: RNAcentral